CUACGAAUGAUUCUACUCUCAGUAUCUGAAUUUUCAUGAACUAUUAUUUUAUUGAACUAGACUCAAAGUGUCAACAAAAUGAUCCAUGCAUGCCUGUUAAUCUGACGAUACACUCUUAAGAGGCGCCACAGACCUGGUUCUAGCAACAAUGUUCUAUAAUCUAUAAAAAUUGCAUUUCGAUUCUCCAAAUAAUCACAUGAUGUAGUAAUUCUCAAGAGAAAAAGUUCCGUCUUUUGUACAGGACUUCCACUACAUUUCUAACACUUAUCUUGUGAUUCCUGUACUCUCAAAGGACUAUUAUUAUUUGACACGGCAAAUAGGUUCUUCUUACUAUUAUUAAUCAUUCCAAACGAUGCAAAGACAGUUUUGAAUUGCUUUUACGCUUGUAAUUACAACUGACACAGAGAGUGUAUGUAUUCCACUGAUGUAUGGAUGAGUGACCCAGUGUAAGUAGUGUAUCUAGCAGUGUAAAUCACGUUGGUCAUAAGGUGUGUGGGCUGGUAACACUACAUAGAGUUCAUUGAAAGUCGCUUUGGAGAAAAGCGUGCGCUAAAUAAAUAAAUGUAAAUGUAAACAUGUAAUGUAAUUAUCAAAAAUCCGGUCGGCUGUCUCUGCUCUUUAUUCUGCACUGGUUCGUAACACACACACAGAGAAAAAAACAGAAACUAAGUAAGUAAGUACAUGUACGAGCCAAGCGCCGACAAAGAGGUUUAGAGGACAGUAAUCCGGCGUCAGCGCGCCGAGCCGCAGCCCGCGUGGAAGGAAGGAAGGAAGGGAUUCGAGCCGCCGAGCAGCUCCGGCUCACAUGGGCUUUGCGGUGAGCAAACAGGCACAAAACGCUCAAAAUGCAGAGGUUCAGAUGGAAUCAAGGGCGUCAGAUUCCCCUGGCGAGGAGCCCUCUUCUUCCCAAGUGACUCCGGGUACCCCGGUGCUCCCCAUCAUCAUCAUCACGGCCCCCUCCCGCGAAGACCUCCUGGCCCCCGCCCCUGCCAGGACCAUCGAAGCUGCAGCUAAGGAGCGCAGGCCGGGGGUCCCAAUCUGCAUUUCCCGCGAGCCUUUAAAAAGAUGA
RNAcentral lists this long non-coding RNA (1069 nucleotides) under Scleropages formosus (Asian bonytongue). RNAcentral describes it as "lncRNA (ENSSFOG00015030964.1)". Lineage: Eukaryota; Metazoa; Chordata; Actinopteri; Osteoglossiformes; Osteoglossidae. The record is from RNAcentral.